This is a long non-coding RNA of Homo sapiens (human), 6624 nucleotides long. NCBI's taxonomy places the organism in Eukaryota, Metazoa, Chordata, Mammalia, Primates, Hominidae. The record is from Ensembl.
GUAUAUAUGUAAUGCCGAAGAGAGGUUAGGGUUUCUUUAGGUUUCCGUACUUUCCUGUUGAGCACUGCGGCGCAACUCGCCUUGCUGCGGUUGGUGGUGGCGAUGGAGAUUGCAGCGCGGCUGAAGGGAACCUACUGGGUUGGUGACAUUUACAAGAGAGUCUUGAAGAUUUUCCAGAACGGGAAAGAUUUUGGAAGAACAAAGAGGAACUACAGAAUCAUUGCUUACAUUGACACAAUUGAAUGGGAAGCCAUCAUUCUUUAAAGGGCAAUGACCAAGCAGUACCAGCAGAAAUUGAAGUACCAGCAGAAGGCUAAGAAGGGAUCAUGGCACAAGUUGCAGUUUCCACCCUGCCCAUUGAAGAUGAGGAGUCCAUGGAAGAUGAGGAGUCUGUUGAAGACGAGGAGUCCGUUGAAGAUGAGUCCGCGGAGAGCAGGAUGCUGGUGACAUUGCUCAUAUCAGCUCUUGAGUCCACGUUCUGGAGGCCACAAGUCCAAAAUCAAGGUGUGGGCAGAAAUGCGCUCCCUCUGCAGACUCUUGGGGAGGAUCCUUGCUUCUUCCAGGUCUGCGACUGUGGUUCCUGCAGCCACUGGAACCAGCUCUGCACAGCUCAGACCUGAGUGAUGAGGACACAGCUUCGCAGCUCCUGAAUGUUCCGGAUGAGCUCGGCUUCCUGAGGGAGGAGACGCCCUGAGCACCAGAGCCAGUCCCUGGUGAGGAUCCCAGGAGGCCCAGCUGCUGCAGGCCUUGGUCAACACCUGAGCAACCACAAGGAGUUGAAUGCCGGGCCUGAGCUCUGACUGUGGCCUUCUGUGGGCUGCUGGGAAGGUCCCUCAGCGGCAGUUCCCACGCCCCAGGCUUCAGGAGUCAUCGCUGCUGCUCACUCAGUGCACCUGGGAACGUUGGCCUGCCCUUGGCCUCUGGACAGCCCCUGAGGACCCAAACUCUGGGGGCCCAGAUGCCCGCCCAGGCUGCCCCUCAGGGCUCUGUGCUGGGAAAGGCCAUCUUCACACCAAGAACAGGAGAAGGACCCUGUGUUUCUUCUUAUUGCCUGGCCAGUUUAAUUUGCUGUGUGUAGGAACAAGCCUUUUCUCUGUGAUUGGGGUCUUUGCCUCAACCACUGGGUACUUCCUUGUGUGCCAGGGCCCGGGUCCUGCGCCCCUCUAUCCCUGGGUUUGCCUCUCCGUGCACUGUCAGUGUCUCCAUCAGUUGGCAGGUGCCCUUGUUGCGGGCAGAGAGUUUGCGGGAGCUGCAGGAGUUCUUGAGGCACUGAGAGAGUGCAGGGGGAAGGGCCUGCAGAAGGGUAAAGAAGGGAGGAGGGAAGGCAUGAGGGGAGGGAGGGACUCAAGGGUUCUUGCCUGAGCUUGGGGUAUGGCAGGAGACCAGCUGCCCCCACCCCACAUCUUUCACGAAUGUCUACAGGCCUGUAGUGGUUCUCAGGGAGGCCCCAGGCUCUGAGAGGUCAGAGAAUUCUCCAGAGCCAGCAUCUGGGCCAGGACUGAGUUACUCUCUCACCCUGUGGGGCUGCCCCACAGACAAGCUGGGGUGGAUUGGGAAGUUAUAGGGGACAUGGAGGAGAGGGGACCUGUGGGUGCAGAUCUUUGUGUCCCCGGCUCUGUAUAGGAUGAAUGGGAGCAGUGGCUCCCAGCCCACCCCACCUUACCUGUCCACACCUGCAGUGCUGGCCCAGACCUGGGUUUCCACCUUGGGAGCAACUGUCCCAGCGAGGGAGGGUCUCUGGGGAGGUGCCUUGUGGCUUAGCCCAGGGAGCCCAGGGUCAGGAUGACUGUGCCAGGACUCAAAGGGAUUAGAGGAGGAGAGGAGAAACAGCUGCUUGGAAGUCAGGGGUCUUCUGGGGCAAAGCUGCCUCCUGUCACUAAGGGGCCAGAUUUCGGGACUCAGGGGUCUCACGUGCAGAGGGCUGGGCUCCCGCGUGCUUGCAGCAGCCACGUGGCUUGUCCACAUGAACUGCGGGGGGGGGGGCUCCUCCUCUCUGCGCCCACAAAUCCCGGCCACCCAAGGGUGCUGGCACCUUCAGCAGCUCCGUUUCCACAUGGUCGCGCACGAGGUUGGGGUGCUCGCGGCGCUCACGGCACUGCAGGUUGUCAGUGGUGAUGGAGAAGGGCACCUCUGUGGCGUCCAGGGCGCGCUCCAGCCGUUGCUUCUGGGCCAGGAGCAAGUUGGUCUCCGCAGCCAGCGCCUCCAUCUCACGCUGCAGCUCCGACUUCCAGCUGUGCGUGUCCUGCAGUCGCUCGCCCACUGUGCGCGUGGAGUCUUGCUGCGUGCGCUGCGCCAGCGCCUGGGUCUCUGUGGCCAGCUGCUGGCUCUCGUGCCGCUGCCGCUCCGACUGGUCGCGGUCGGCGAAGGCCUGGUGGUAGCGAGCAUAGCAGUUCUGGAACCACUCCUCCAGCAGGUACUUGGAGGUGCGGAAGCUGGCGGUGGCCAGGCCGGAGGACGUGUAGGCGCCCGUGUUACGGGCCACGUCGUACUCUUUGCAGGGCAGCUCGCAGGGCGGCACUGUCUGCGCCAUGGUGCCUGCCGCCCACCAGGGCCAGGGGAGUGAGGACUGUGUGUGGUCAGCCGGUUGCGGUCAGCCUAGUGCGGUCAGCGGGGCAGCUCCAACGGCUCAGUCCCAGAGCAGGACGCGGCUCCCAGUCGCUUGGGUGACACUGUGUAAACCAAGAGCUUCCUGUUGCCAAGAAACGGGAUCUCUUCUCCAGUAGCUAGGGGAGGGGCAUUCAGGGUGGUGGGCAGAACUGCCCUCUUAAAGGGCCAGGCAGCCCCAGCCCCACCAUCCCUGUCCCCGCCUCGGGGCAAUCAACAGUGGCCAAGGGUUCCUGUCACUUAGAGGAUCCUGGGGCCAGCCCGUCUCCAGCCUCUGAGUCCCACCCUUAGGGUUCAGGGUGUGGGUGGGGACCUACUGCCCUGGCCCCUUCCUUGGUUCAUCCAUUUGUUCCUGGUUUGCGCUCUGAUCCUGUCCUGUGCGGAGCUCCGCGCUCAGGGUGAACAAGACAGGAGACUCUGCUCAGUUGCAGCCACCUCAGGGCAGAGGGCUGUGGCUGUCGUGUGGGUGUUGGGUGUGCUGACUGAUAGUGUUACUUGAUGCCGUACAGGUGGCUGCUCUCCCUGCCCUCCUGGCCCCAACAGCAGCCUGGUAGCACAGGGAGGGUUCCAGGCCAGGUCCCCUCGGGGGCAGUCUGAGGCAGUUCCUGCAGGAACUCUGCUCCAUUUUCUCCUGCACCUAGUGCCUGAGAGCCAGGCCCUGGCCUCUGGCCUUCUCCUCCCAAGUCCAAGCCAGGGUCCCCUCAGGCUGGGCACAGCGGGGAGGGAGUCUGAGUGUGCUCUUCGCUGGGGAGUUGAAUUCAGCCUCUGGGUAAGUGUCCAGAGUCAGACGCCCAAAUCUGCCCCACAGGGCGGAGGCAGGUCCUGUGCUGCGGAGGCUGCCCUCAAAGCCAUUCAGGGCCAGGCUGCCUGGCGGAGGCUGGAUGGGCAGGAAGCGCCCCAGGACACAUCGGAGUCCCCCUAACCUGGGGCCAGGGGAGCCCCAGCCUAGGCGCGAUUCCCCACACGGCCAGCGGAGGGCGACGUUGGUCUGGCACUGAGAAGCCUGCGGCUCCUGGCUCGGCCUCCCCUCCGUCUGCCUGGCGCAUGCAGUCCUGGGGACCCCCAGCCCCUCCGGCCUCCUCUUCUCUGAGAGCCCCCCACCAGAAAGUCCUCACUAGGAAGUCCAUACCCUUCCUACAGCACAGACCUCUGGGCCCCUGUUCUCUCCACCUUCACCCCCUCUCCCACCACAGCCCACACCCUCACUCCAGCCACAGGAGCCGGAGCUCCUCCUGGGCCAUUCCCACCACCCCGCCCAGGGUCUCUCCAGCCCCACCAUGUGCCGGCCAGUGCCCUCCUCCUGGACCUGACCUCCCCCCGUCCUGGCCUCUCCCGCGGCCAGAACCCUCAGUCCAUGCUGCUGUCACCACGGUGCGCCUGGCCUGACACAGCCUCCUGAUGGGGCUUUUGAGGACAGCAGCCCGGAGACUUACCCUAACCCAGGCCGAGUCAGAACCUGUGGCAGGCGGCCUGGGAACCUCUUCUUACUGUCCAUCAAAAUUGGGAGGUCAGGGGACCUUCAGGGACUGGUGUGGUCUGAGAAACAUCCUCGAGCCUCGCCAUGACUCAGUUUCCCCAGAUGGCAGCAGGCUGGAGCCCACACGCAGGGCAGGAUGCCAGGCUCCACCUUUUGUCUGGAACCUGCAUUCACUGGGCACCUCUCUUUAGGCAGAGCAGAGCAGAGCUGCCCGUGUUUGUCCCCUGAUCUGUGGCCCCAGGAGCCCGAGAGACCACCUGAGCCAACGAGAAGGCCUCUGGGCCAGAGCCCAGCUCUGCGAAGUGGGAGACUUCUCAGCCUCCACUUCCAGGUGCCCUGAAGUCGUUGGCAGGGGGUGCUGCCUGCUUGGGGCUCCCAGACUAAGGGAACACAUUCAUGUGGUGACCACGAUAGGCCCUGCAGGCUGAGGCACAGGAUUUGACCAAGGACGCAUCAGAGAUAGGAGACUGGGCCCUCACUCCUGCCAGCUGCAAACUCCCAAAGCCCCCAGCCCUCUCAUGGGGUGAAGAUGCCCUGAAGGACACUCCAGUGUGCUCCCACCUCUGGGUUCUGCCAGCCAGAGAGUGGGACCCUCAGGCCACAUGUGUCUUGCUGGAUCUCAGCUUUAGGGACCCAUCGUGCUGGCAGCUCCCUGAGACCUGGGUCAGGGGGUGUCCAUUAGAGCACCUUGGUCAGGACCCAGAGAUGGGGAGGGCAGUUGGCAUCUCCAGAAAGCAGGAGGUGGGGCAUGGCUCUGUGACAGACGUCCCUGUGACAGGGAGGAUUGGAGGGACAGAGGGGCGUGCUCAGGGGCGGAGGGGCAGAUGAGGCCACCAAAGGGCACCUUGAACACUGGAUGGCCCCAGGAAGGCCCUUGAACCCCAUCCUGAUUGAUCCAGGGCCUGUGACCUUGGCCCAGACUGCAGGCCUGGGGACUUGAGUUCCUUUAGUUUCUUAAGAAACUACUAUACUCCUUUUUGGCAUAGCUGUACGAUUUUACAUUCCCACCAGUAAUGUGUGAAAGCUCUAGUUUUUACUCAUGCUCCUCAGCGUUUGAUGUUUUAUUUUUAUUUUAGCUAUUCUGAUAUAUAUGUGUUAGUCAUUGUGGUCUUAAUUUGCAAAUUUCUAAUGACUAAUGAUAUUUAACACCUUUUCUUGUUCAUAAUUAAAUACCAUCUGUAUUCCUUUUCGCAUAUCAUCAACACAACCGUGAAAAAUCAGAACAAAAUUUUUCAGACGACUUCAAAAUUUUUAGAACAAUACUCAAGGGAAAAGGUGUUUAUUUAGAACAAUGAAAACAAUGAGACAUUAACUUCCAGGUUAAAUAAAGUUGAUUGUGUGCAUAAAAAUGGUGAAAAUAUUAGACUUCCUUGGCAAAAGAAGAAAGGGGAAGACUUUAUAUUUUCUGAAAUAAUAUUCAUCAUUUGUCUUUGGUUUAUUAUGUGUAUGAUUUGGAAAAAAUGCAUCAAAGAUACAACCUUCUGGUGUUUGCUUUGAUAUUAUCCUUGCAAACAGAAAAGUUGGCACGUUUCUGUAUAAAACUGGACAAAGUUGGCCUAGGAAUGAUGUUACAUUGUACUUUCACUUUACAUCAUACUGUAAGAGUUUAAUAAUAGCUAAGGCAGGCGUGUUGAUGUGGACUUACUGUCCCUAUUUAAGAGGUGGUGUGAGGUUUAGGAGAGUUAUGUACCCUUUAUCAUAAAACAAAUCUAUGAAGCAUUUAUAUAAAAACCCAGUAUUUCUGGUUUCAAAUUCAGUACUGUGCCGUCUGCUUGAUAGAUUUGUUUGCAGGUUAGAGACAUUUUAUUGCAUAACUUCCAUGAAGUAUCACAGUUGUACUCUUGACUAUGUUUAAAUCACAACAAGACUUUAAUCUGCACUCAGUUCUUUUAACUAAAAUCUUCAGUUUGAAUAUUAAUUUCACUUAAAGAACAUCCCUAGAAAUUUCAGAGAGAGUUUACUUGCGGAAUACAAUUUGCAUUUGCUUUGACAACUAUUAGUUCACAUAUGUAAAAUAAGUCUACCUGUCUGUAUGCAUAAUUAAGAUGUAACAGUAGUGUGGUAAUGACUUGUUAAUUAAAGCAAUUAGAAUGGCAGUGGAUCAUGGCACAAUUUACCUUAAAAGCCAUGAGCAGACUACAUCACAAGCUAUGAUACAAUUAAUAGUCAUUAGGUUUAAAGUAGUUUCUGCAUAUAAAACCACAAAGCAUAUUUUAGCCCUUUAAACAAAAGCUUCAUUCAGUCAAUACUGGUCUUCUUGUAGAUGCAUUUAUGAAACAAAACCACAAAACAUAUAGCUUACCCGCUUCUCAAAACAUGUUGCACAGUAGGUUGAGGGACUUCUCUACACCAGGACCUAUUCUUAAAACCAAUAAGUCCUCAGUGAAAAUUAUGUAUUUGCCUGGAGUCUCAUCUGAUGUGUCUGUUGUAGGCAGCUGUGGCAGUGGUGGGUGGUUUAGUGAGAUGGACCCUGUCCACGUCUGUCCGUCCAUCAGUGGGCUAGUGUGUCUCUGGCUGCACCUGAGAAGGGUCUAUAGGAGUUA